CCUACGGGAGGCAGCAGUGGGGGAUAUUGCACAAUGGGGGGAACCCUGAUGCAGCGACGCCGCGUGGGUGAAGGAGUGCUUCGGCAUGUAAAGCCCUAUCGGCAGGGAAGAAGCAAGACGGUACCUGACUAAGAAGCCCCGGCUAACUACGUGCCAGCAGCCGCGGUAAUACGUAGGGGGCGAGCGUUAUCCGGAUUCACUGGGUGUAAAGGGAGCGUAGACGGCCAUGCAAGCCAGGGGUGAAAGCCCGGGGCCCAACCCCGGGACUGCCCUUGGAACUGCAUGGCUGGAGUGCGGGAGGGGCAAGCGGAAUUUCGGGUGUAGCGGUGAAAUGCGUAGAUAUCAGGAGGAACACCGGCGGCGAAGGCGGCCUGGUGGACCGCGACUGACGUUGAGGCUCGAAAGCGUGGGGAGCGAACAGGAUUAGAUACCCGUGUAGUC
This 441-nucleotide ribosomal RNA is filed under the name uncultured bacterium. RNAcentral's name for it is "partial 16S ribosomal RNA". It matches the Rfam family "Bacterial small subunit ribosomal RNA", at positions 338 to 795 of the family's 1533-position model. The record is from RNAcentral.